Long non-coding RNA from Dromaius novaehollandiae (emu), 2275 nucleotides. RefSeq lists it as uncharacterized. Lineage: Eukaryota; Metazoa; Chordata; Aves; Casuariiformes; Dromaiidae. The transcript is spliced from 2 exons. The record is from RefSeq and is a predicted model, not a curated record.
CGGCUACGUACAGGGCGACGUGCCGGCCCCGAAAGUUUAUUUUUAGGCCCUGGGAGAGUUGGCGGCGGAGGUCCCGUGCAGCGGAGCGGCCCGCAGACGUGGCAGCGCGGCGCGGCUGGCGCAUCUUCCGCAGCCACUUCCUUGAACCGCCACCUUCCAAAUGAGGAGCAAGAUGGGGUGAGAACAAGGAGUGCCUUGGAGAAAUCCAGUCCUAAAGUUUGAGGAGUGGAAUUAAUAGGAAACAUCAAUAACUCUGGUCUCUUAAAUAGGUCAGAACAUUGGCUUAAAAUUAGGAAAAGUUAUAAACGUGGCCUUACUACAUUUGAACCUAGGUUGUGGAUUUUUUAAUUUAAUAAAUAAUAAAAAUAUUAGCAUGUCUUUUCCUCCAUGCCGGAUGACAUUACAUUCUGCUGCUUUUAGCUGUGCACAGCUCUCCCUUAUAGACUACUUUAACUUUGAUUUAUUGCUGGUUAGCCCCGAGACCCCUCCUCAUGCGAGGGUGGGCUGUGAAUCAGCAACGUUGGCUGUUCCCCUCUGUCUGCCCUUCCAUAAUCAAUACUGGAUCCCUGUGUUACCAGACUGCCCAGCAGCACAAGGGCGAGUUGGGUGAAGAGCACGUGUGUAUGACCGUAUUACUGCCAAACGGUCUAAAGCACAUAGUAUAGGGCUUAUCUAGGCUUGAGGCUUUUAUAUUGGCCUUUUUAUGGCUGAGUGGUAGAGGUGAUACCUGGCGUAAGACUUGCCUUCGUAGAGAUGGAGCAUCACGAUUUUGAGAACAAAUCCAGACCAGUUGCAUAGUCAUCAUACUUUGCCAAAAUGGCCAUGGCGCUUUGAUGUAGGACUAGGAGCCCUACAUCCAAUUUCCCCCAGGAAAGCACGCCGAACAACCAGUGAGUGCCAAGCAGUUGGGAGUACGGCAGGGGAAGGGACUGGGGGGUUGUCUGUGCCCGAGGAUUUCGGAGUAUGUUCCCCAAGUAGGCUCAGCCCUUAGGUGGCUUUAAAAAAAGUGGCUUAGCUAAAUCAGAGCAAACUGCUGCGUCUGUUCUUAUUUUAAAUAAAUAUUAAACAAUAUUAAAUAAAUAUUAAAUAAAUAUAGCACAUUUUCAAUCCAUUAAAAAUACAUGUAAAUUAAAUUGAAAUAAACUACAGAGUCUAAUCAGAAGAAAGCUGGUUGUACAAAAAGUCUCACCUCCUGACUUCAGUGAGUUCAUUUAUAAAGUGUAUGGCCAAGCUCUCACUCACACACUGCCAUUUCACUCUAUAACACUCACAGUGCAGGCAGGAAGAGAAGCACUCAUCAAGCGGGUUUACAUGAGAAGCAAAACACACACAGGAACUUUAAAGUAUACAGGGCAUAUCAUGAUUUUUUUUUUUUUUUUUUUUUUUUUUUUGCUGCCAUACGUUCCCUAUCAGAUCAAAUCAUUUAGUAGUAGUGAGGAAAGUUAGAAGUCCAUUUCAAGUCAGCUUUUCCUCUGUUGCUCCUACACUCUGGUCAAUCACUUGUAAUGUAAAAGCUAGGUGGUGUUAUUCACAGGGAUUGUGAAAACAAAACACCUAACAACUGGAAAGAAAAUGGUGGCUUGGGGGGUUUUUGUGUUUUUCUUCCUUUCCUGUUUUACACAAAUGGCAACAGCAGUUGCAGGCCACCUGCCUUUCUGCAGCAGCACGAGCAGAGCUCCUGGGGCAGAGCGCCAUUGCUGCGGGAAGCCUGCAUGGAGCUAAAGCCGCCGGCGGUCGCGCCUUUCGCCAUCACGCAGUGCUCUGCGCUGGAGCAAUGCUCGGAGCACAGGGCUCCCCGCGCUCUGCAAGCAGGUGUGAGCUCUGCUAGCAAAGAAGUCAAUUGCGUGUGUUUAGUGCGGGCGGGCCAUUUGAAAGCAUGCAGCUCUUUCUACUGCAAACUGGUCUUUCAUUCAAAUUGCAUAAAUCAGCCUGCGCUGCAACUUUGUUGGUUCUGAGGCUAAAAGAAGCUGAUGCUCCCUGAGGGGAAAAAAAAUGUAGGAAGCAGUAGGGUUACCAGGAGGUACACUGAAAAUGCACUGGGUAACUCUAAUUCUAGUAUUACGUAGCAUUUGAGUGUUUGACUUUAGUAGGAUGCAAUGUCAGCUAUUUGGGGUAAGUUACUUUUUUUUGUUAAAUUUGUAUCCUUCUUGUUGCUUUCCGUUGCCUGAAACAGUUGUAAUUACUGAAUUAGUUUUAAUCACAGACACUGUAUUUAAAAAUGUUUUUACUGAUUUUCUUUGUAUUUUGGUCAAUAAAAGCUGCUCCAUUAAAAAUA